Molecule: transfer RNA, 72 nt
Filed under: Myxococcota bacterium
Lineage: Bacteria; Pseudomonadati; Myxococcota
Description: tRNA-OTHER
Rfam family: tRNA
About the family: Transfer RNA (tRNA) molecules are approximately 80 nucleotides in length. Their secondary structure includes four short double-helical elements and three loops (D, anti-codon, and T loops).
Source: RNAcentral
GAGGCUGUAGCUCAGUGGCCGAGCGCCGGGAUAUCCCGGAGGUCGCAGGUUCAAUUCCUGCCAGUUUCACCA